GGAAAUGGAAAAUUUCUUCAAAGUCUUCGAGGAAAUCCGCUCCCUUGCCUGGUCAGAGCUCAUGGAGCAAGAAUCUGUGGCCCAAUACCAGCUUCAUCAUCACCAGAAUGUUCAUGAACCGGGUACCCACGUGGAACGACACGAGAAAAUGCUCAGUCCAUCCCGUCGUCGGGGACAUAAAGAUGAUGAUGAUUUUGGGAAAAGGCAUGAAAUGAAGCAGAAACAUGCAGAAGAGCUACGUCAGCAACUGCAGGAGGCAAAAGCUUCGAAGCUUAAAGAGCUCACGAGCCGAGUUGAGGAAGUUCGGAUGAAGCAGGAGGCCUUGAAAG
This 329-nucleotide small RNA is filed under the name Caenorhabditis elegans. RNAcentral's name for it is "Unclassified non-coding RNA Y6B3B.16". The record is from RNAcentral. Lineage: Eukaryota; Metazoa; Nematoda; Chromadorea; Rhabditida; Rhabditidae.